This 601-nucleotide ribosomal RNA is filed under the name Exserohilum sp. SP01. Its description in RNAcentral is "eukaryotic LSU rRNA". The stretch from base 209 to 362 matches the Rfam family "5.8S ribosomal RNA". Lineage: Eukaryota; Fungi; Ascomycota; Dothideomycetes; Pleosporales; Pleosporaceae. The record is from RNAcentral.
UCCGUAGGUGAACCUGCGGAGGGAUCAUUGCGCACCAAAAAUAUGAGGGUGUGGUUAGCUGGCAACAGCGUCCGCCCCAAGUAUUUUUCACCCAUGUCUUUUGCGCACUUUUUGUUUCCUGGGCGAGUUCGCUCGCCACCAGGACCCAACCAUAAACCUUUUUUUAUGCAGUUGCAAUCAGCGUCAGUAUAAUAAUUCAAUUUAUUAAAACUUUCAACAACGGAUCUCUUGGUUCUGGCAUCGAUGAAGAACGCAGCGAAAUGCGAUACGUAGUGUGAAUUGCAGAAUUCAGUGAAUCAUCGAAUCUUUGAACGCACAUUGCGCCCUUUGGUAUUCCAAAGGGCAUGCCUGUUCGAGCGUCAUUUGUACCCUCAAGCUUUGCUUGGUGUUGGGCGUCUUUUUGUCUCUCCCCUUGUUGGGGGAGACUCGCCUUAAAACGAUUGGCAGCCGACCUACUGGUUUUCGGAGCGCAGCACAAAUUUGGGCCUUCCAAUCCACGGGGCGGCAUCCAGCAAGCCUUUGUUUUCUAUAACAAAUCCCCAUUUUGACCUCGGAUCAGGUAGGGAUACCCGCUGAAAUCCGCAUAUCAAUAAGCGGAGGA